This is an RNA transcript of Ipomoea triloba (trilobed morning glory), 3517 nucleotides long. It is a transcript of the gene named putative disease resistance protein At4g11170, with no coding region annotated. Lineage: Eukaryota; Viridiplantae; Streptophyta; Magnoliopsida; Solanales; Convolvulaceae. The record is from RefSeq and is a predicted model, not a curated record. The transcript has 6 exons.
AAACAGGUGAAUUUGGUAAGGCGUUGACUCAACAUCGACAACGAUUUGAUGAUCAAAAAGUUGAUGAGUGAAAAAUUGCACUCACUACUGUUGCUGAUUUAUCUGGAUGGGAUUUGCAAACCAUGACAAACGGGUAUGAAGCAAAGUUCAUCAAAAAAAUUACUGAAGAGGUAUUGAGGGGAGUAAAUCGUCGUACAUACAUGAAUGUUGCAAAGUAUCCUAUUGGAAUUGAAUCUCGUGUCAGAGAUAUACUUCAUUUAUUGCAUUAUAUCAAGAUGCUUGAAAUCUUUGGCAUGGGUGGUGUGGGAAAAACAACCCUUGCUAAAGCCAUUUAUAACUUGAGUUUUCAAAAGUUUGAAGGCUGCUGCUUUAUUGCAAACAUUAGAUCACAAGUUUCUGAAGGGUACAAUGGUUUAGUUCGUUUACAAGAGACACUUCUUUGCAAAACACUUAACAAAAAGAAACUUGAAAUAAAAAAUGUUGAUGAAGGAAUAAGUUUGAUAAAACAAAGACUGCGAUCAAAAAGUGUUCUUAUUGUUCUUGAUGACAUAGACGAUACAAGUCAACUUGAAUCAUUAGCCGGACAACGGAAUUGGUUUGGUUCAGGGAGCACAAUUAUAAUAACAACUAGAGAUGUUCAGUUGUUGAGUGACCUGGAAGCACACGAGAAGUACCUGGUAGAAACGUUAAGCCCUUGUGAAUCCUUGAAACUCUUGAGUUCGCAUGCUUUUGGUGUUCCUAUACCAUUAGAGGAGUAUAUUGACCUAUCCGAAAGGAUAGCAAGUUAUACUGGUGGACUUCCACUAGCACUUACAAUUAUAGGUUCUCAUUUGCGUGGAAAAUCAGUGCAAGAAUGGAGUGAUGAUGCUAAGAAAUUAAGAGGGAUGCCUCAUGAUGAUGUUCAAAGAAUUCUUAAAAUAAGUUAUGAUUCACUUGAUGAUGAUACUCGAAAUAUCUUUCUUGAUAUUGCUUGUUUUUUUAUUGGGCAUGACAAAAAUGACACUUCUAUGAUAUUGGAAGCUUGUGGUUUUUAUGCUAAAAGUGGAAUAAGAAUUUUGAUUGAAAGAUGCUUGUUGACAACAAAUGGGGAUGGAAAGUUUGAAAGUCUUGAGAUGCAUGAUUUAGUACGAGAUAUGGGAAGAGAAAUUGUUCGAAAGGAAUCUCCACGAGAGGCUGGCAAACAAAGUAGAUUAAUUGACCCAAAGGAUGUCUUCGAUGUUCUUCACGGGAACAAGGGCACAGAAGCAAUUGAAGGGAUGAUUGUUAAUUCUGACAUGCUAGAGAAUGUGCCUUUGAAUACACAAGUAUUCAAAAGGAUGGUAAAGUUACGAAUACUCAUAUUGAAUGGUAUGUGUCUCAGCGGAUCUUUUAAAUAUUUAUCGAAUGAACUUAGGUUUUUUAGAUUACACAAUUGCAACUUGAGUCGCAUACAAUCUGAUUUUCACUGUGAGAAACUUGUUGAGUUAGACAUGGAAGGUAGCAAUAUCAAAGAAUUUCAAUGCAGUAUGGAGCAUUUUAGAUGGUUGAGGAUCUUAAAGCUUGAUUUCUGUCAACAACUUAAGAAAACCCCAAACUUCACUGGAUCACAGACUCUUCAUAAAGUAUCCUUUAUUCGUUGUUCAAGUUUGGUCAAGGUACACCCAUCAAUUGGAUGUUUGGAGAGACUCGUUGAGUUAAAUUUCUUCGGUUGCAAGGAACUCAAGGUUCUUCCAAGUAGCAUUUGCAAGUUAAAGUCACUUGAAGUUUUACGCUUAGAUGAAUGCGAAAAACUGAGGGAGCUUCCAAUUGACAUGGGAAAAUUAGAGCAACUAAGAGAGUUACUUGCUAAUGGAACUGCCAUCUCACAUAUACCAUUUUCUUUCGGAUGUUUGAGAAAUCUAAAGACACUGAAUCUGGGGAAGAGCAAGAAUUGUGUACUAUCAAAAUCAAAAUCUCAACUUCUUGACAAUUUAUCAUCACCUCUUUUUUUGUCAAGAAGAAGUCGUGAUGGUGUUGGUUUCUUUCCACCUUCAGUUGCAAAUUUGUGCUCUUUGGAAUUUCUAUAUCUGAAUGACAUCUAUCUACAUGAAGUAGAUCUUAGGAUCACUCUUGAGAAUUUGACCUCAUUGGUAUCUUUAGAUUUAUCAGGGAGUUAUUAUCAUCAAAGCUUACCCUUUAGCCUUUGUCAUCUUUCAAACUUGAAAUUUCUAUCCUUGAACAAUUUGAGAAAUCUUAGAGUACUUGUAGAACUUCCUCCUAGUUUGGUGAAUCUCUCUGCAGAAAAUUGUGUUUCAUUGGAAAAUAUAGCAGUUGUAUCAAACUUGAAGAGACUUGAAGUGUUGCGUAUUGGGAAUUGCAAAAGUUUGGUUGUGCUUCGAAACAUGGAGAGUCUUUCAUCCUUAGUAGAGCUUGACAUAAGCAAUUGCAUAAGUUUGGUUGAGCUUCCGAACAUGGAGAGUCUUUCAUCCUUAGAAAUUCUUGGCAUAAGGAAAUGCAUAAGUUUGGUUGAGCUUCCGAACAUAGAGAGUCUUUCAUCCUUAAAAUGUCUUAACAUAAGGAAUUGCAAUGCUUUGACUAUUCCUGACAAGUAUUUGCAUGAAGAAGAUUUUCCAAUUGCUCUUAGGAGUUUGUCCUCCUCGUUGAAUGAAGUAGAUUUAAUGGGAAGAUAUUAUCUUCAAAGUUUACCAUUAAACCUUUGUCAUCACUCCAAUUUGAAGUAUAUCUGCUUAGACGAUUUGCAGAAUCUUAGAUUACUUCCACAACUUCCUCCUAAUUUGGAGAUACUCUCUACAAAGAAUUGUGUGUCAUUAGAAAAGAUAGCAGAUCUAUCCAACUUGAAAAGACUCCAUAAACUAGAUAUUCAGAACUGUAAAAGUUUGGUUGAGCUUUCAGGCUUGGAGAGUCUUGAAUCCUUAAUUGUUCUUGGGAUAGCAAAUUGCAUUGGUUUGAGGAUUCCUUCAAUUGAAAAGUGGUUCAAGGCACAUUCUAAAGGUGACAGUGUCGAUAUUUCGCUUUGCGCGAGCUAUUGGUCUGUACUCUGCAUUUUUCCAAAACCUUCAGGGGAUGUACAGCUUCAAAUCAUGCACAGUGUGAUUGAUCCCUGCAGUGAAAUUGAGGGUUGCAAUGGGAUUCGUUUGAGUGCGAGAAUCAAAAGCAGUGGUGCUUGGAUUAUAAAGCAACAAAAAUAUUUUAACAGAAAAAGCGAAUCAUAUACUGCGAUUUGUUUUGAUUUUCCCACAAUGAUGGGAGAAGUAUUGGAGGUCUGUGUAGAACUCAAGGAUCAUGUGCAGAUCAUAUUUUGUCUAUUUGAAAUACAUAGAAAUAGAGAAGGCGAAGUGCGUUUCUUUCCAUCCACAAGGGGAUUCAUUCCUGCCUGAUUUUGUACAGGAUGCAUAUAUGUUAUUAGAGUAGCAUCAGAUAUUCAGAUCAGACAUGCGUUAGUUGUACGUACGUGUUUAGCAUCUUCAGCUUUUGCUGCAAAUGAAAGUAAAAAUGGAUUUAUAAAGAGUAGGACGGCUGGAGUAGGAGAAGACACAGA